GGUCUUGUAGCUCAGUUGGGCGAGUAUCACCUUGACAUGGUGGGGGUCGCUGGUUCGAGACCAGUCGGGACCA
RNAcentral lists this transfer RNA (73 nucleotides) under Listeria monocytogenes. RNAcentral's name for it is "tRNA-Val". It matches the Rfam family "tRNA". From Rfam's summary of the family: Transfer RNA (tRNA) molecules are approximately 80 nucleotides in length. Their secondary structure includes four short double-helical elements and three loops (D, anti-codon, and T loops). The record is from RNAcentral. Lineage: Bacteria; Bacillati; Bacillota; Bacilli; Caryophanales; Listeriaceae.